AACGAACGCUGGCGGCAGGCCUAACACAUGCAAGUCGAACGCUCCGCAAGGGGAGUGGCGCACGGGUGAGUAACACGUGGGAACCUACCUUCUGGUACGGAACAACCAAGGGAAACUUUGGCUAAGACCGUAUACGACCUCCGGGUGAAAGAUUGAUCGCCGGAAGAGGGGCCCGCGUCCGAUUAGGUAGUUGGUGAGGUAACGGCUCACCAAGCCUUCGAUCGGUAGCUGGUCUGAGAGGAUGACCAGCCACACUGGACUGAGACACGGCCCAGACUCCUACGGGAGGCAGCAGUGGGGAAUAUUGGACAAUGGGCGCAAGCCUGAUCCAGCCAUGCCGCGUGAGUGAUGAAGGCCUUCGGUU
RNAcentral lists this ribosomal RNA (364 nucleotides) under uncultured bacterium. RNAcentral describes it as "bacterial SSU rRNA". It matches the Rfam family "Bacterial small subunit ribosomal RNA", at positions 29 to 423 of the family's 1533-position model. The record is from RNAcentral.